This 481-nucleotide ribosomal RNA is filed under the name Streptococcus sp. oral taxon C65. Its description in RNAcentral is "bacterial SSU rRNA". It matches the Rfam family "Bacterial small subunit ribosomal RNA", at positions 43 to 506 of the family's 1533-position model. The record is from RNAcentral. Lineage: Bacteria; Bacillati; Bacillota; Bacilli; Lactobacillales; Streptococcaceae.
CGGGCGUCUUAACAUGCAAGUAGAACGCUGAAGAGAGGAGCUUGCUCUUCUUGGAUGAGUUGCGAACGGUGAGUAACGCGUAGGUAACCUGCCUUGUAGCGGGGGAUAACUAUUGGAAACGAUAGCUAAUACCGCAUAACAAUGGAUGACACAUGUCAUUUAUUUGAAAGGGGCAAUUGCUUCACUACAAGAUGGACCUGCGUUGUAUUAGCUAGUAGGUGAGGUAACGGCUCACCUAGGCGACGAUACAUAGCCGACCUGAGAGGGUGAUCGGCCACACUGGGACUGAGACACGGCCCAGACUCCUACGGGAGGCAGCAGUAGGGAAUCUUCUGCAAUGGGGGCAACCCUGACCGAGCAACGCCGCGUGAGUGAAGAAGGUUUUCGGAUCGUAAAGCUCUGUUGUAAGUCAAGAACGAGUGUGAGAGUGGAAAGUUAACACUGUGACGGUAGCUUACCAGAAAGGGACGGCUAACUACAA